GUCCUGGUGUAACGGUAACCCGCACUGCUGUAUACACUGUAACUAUGACUUUCAGGUGCGGUCGGUGGUUCGACUCCACCCCAGGACA
Molecule: non-coding RNA, 88 nt
Organism: Mycena latifolia
Lineage: Eukaryota; Fungi; Basidiomycota; Agaricomycetes; Agaricales; Mycenaceae
Source: the annotation of a GenBank genome assembly